Gordonia araii NBRC 100433 is the source of this 51-nucleotide non-coding RNA. The record is from Rfam. Lineage: Bacteria; Bacillati; Actinomycetota; Actinomycetes; Mycobacteriales; Gordoniaceae.
CCGGUUCCGGUUCACACCCCAAGGCAAAUUCGCCCGGGUGACCCGGCGACC